This is a non-coding RNA of Acanthosepion pharaonis, 98 nucleotides long. Lineage: Eukaryota; Metazoa; Mollusca; Cephalopoda; Sepiida; Sepiidae. The record is from the annotation of a GenBank genome assembly.
UUGAAACACUGGUUCCUGUAUGAUCAUUGAAGUUAAGUAAUGUCGAGCCUGGUCAAUACCUAGAUGGGUAUCCACUUGGGAAUACCAGAUGUUGCAAA